RNAcentral lists this ribosomal RNA (402 nucleotides) under uncultured bacterium. Its description in RNAcentral is "bacterial SSU rRNA". It matches the Rfam family "Bacterial small subunit ribosomal RNA", at positions 355 to 774 of the family's 1533-position model. The record is from RNAcentral.
UGGGGAAUAUUGCACAAUGGGGGAAACCCUGAUGCAGCGACGCCGCGUGAGCGAAGAAGUAUUUCGGUAUGUAAAGCUCUAUCAGCAGGGAAGAAAAUGACGGUACCUGACUAAGAAGCACCGGCUAAAUACGUGCCAGCAGCCGCGGUAAUACGUAUGGUGCAAGCGUUAUCCGGAUUUACUGGGUGUAAAGGGAGCGUAGACGGUUGUGUAAGUCUGAUGUGAAAGCCCGGGGCUCAACCCCGGGACUGCAUUGGAAACUAUGUAACUAGAGUGUCGGAGAGGUAAGCGGAAUUCCUAGUGUAGCGGUGAAAUGCGUAGAUAUUAGGAGGAACACCAGUGGCGAAGGCGGCUUACUGGACGAUCACUGACGUUGAGGCUCGAAAGCGUGGGGAGCAAACA